UAAGGUAAGAGAGUCAAAUGUUCGAUAUCUCCUAAGGUUUAGGUUUGUUAUAUUAUUAGGUGAAAUAAAAAUACAUUAAAUAAAUUUUCUAAAGAUAGUCCAAACUUAAAAAAAUCACACGUAAAAUAAGUUGUUACUCCUGUUUUAAUAUAUAAGAUUGAUUAAUCGAAUCAAGCGAACGCCGGCUCUUAGUCUUAGUUUAUAAAGACCACAUGGUUUCUUCGUUAAAAAUAUAUAUAUAUAUU
This 245-nucleotide long non-coding RNA is filed under the name Brassica napus (rape). Its description in RNAcentral is "long non-coding RNA (BNAP_LNC009873)". The record is from RNAcentral. Lineage: Eukaryota; Viridiplantae; Streptophyta; Magnoliopsida; Brassicales; Brassicaceae.